AUGUGGGAUGGAGUCAUAGAGGUUUUGGGCAUUGUUGAGGAUGAUCUGCGUGUUCCAUGUAGGGCAGGAGGUUUGGUUCAUCAAAUGGAGACUUUUAGCUUUGUGUUCAUCUUGAAGAUGAUGCUACAAAUCCUUCACAUGACAAAUGAUUUGUCUCUUCUAUUGCAAAAGAAGGAUCAAAAUGUUGUUCAGGCAAUGUCAUUGGUUACGGAUGUGAGAACACGUUUGAUCAACUGGAGAAAUAAUGGUUGGGAGCCACUCUUGGAAGAUGUCAAAGCCUUUUGCACCAAAAAUGACAUUCCGAUACCAAAUAUGGAUGACAUCUUUACAAAGUUGGGAAAAUCAAGAAAAGGUGGACGAAACAAUGUCACGGCUGAUCAUUUUUUCCGCGUGGACACCUUCUACGCUGCCAUAGACUCCAUCACCACAGAGUUUGAUCAUAGUUUUAAUGAUGUAUCUUUUGAGCUGCUCCAGAACUUCUCUUGUCUUGACCCAAGAAACUCCUUUUCUAGGUUCAAUGUGAAUAAGCUUGCUAGACUCACAGAGAUUUAUCAUGAGGAUUUCUCAGAUUACGAACGUGAACAUAUAGUUGAUAACCUAGAGCUAUUCAUUAUCCAUAUGAGAAGAAUUGAAGACUUUCGAGCUUGUCAUGAUAUUGCAAGUCUAGCUAAAAAGAUGGUUGAACUUGAAAGGCAUGUCUUGUUUCCUACUAUUUAUCGCCUCAUUGAGUUGGCAUUGCUACUACCGGUAGCGACGGCAACAGUUGAAAGAGCCUUCUCAUCAAUGAAAAUCAUCAAGACUGAGUUGCGCAGCAGGAUGUCUGAUGGCUGGCUUAAUGACUUGAUGGUGUGUUACAUUGAGCGAGAGAUCUUCAAAAGUAUUGAUCUUGGUAAAAUUAAGGAAUAUUUUCAUAAGGAGGGUAGGGCACUGCCAUUACCUGGGUCUUCCUGCCAUUAA
RNAcentral lists this ribosomal RNA (957 nucleotides) under Triticum aestivum (bread wheat). RNAcentral describes it as "partial small subunit ribosomal RNA". Lineage: Eukaryota; Viridiplantae; Streptophyta; Magnoliopsida; Poales; Poaceae. The record is from RNAcentral.